RNAcentral lists this transfer RNA (73 nucleotides) under Chionoecetes japonicus x Chionoecetes opilio. Its description in RNAcentral is "tRNA-Val". It matches the Rfam family "tRNA". Rfam says of the family: Transfer RNA (tRNA) molecules are approximately 80 nucleotides in length. Their secondary structure includes four short double-helical elements and three loops (D, anti-codon, and T loops). The record is from RNAcentral. RNAcentral also lists the same sequence under 1 other name. Lineage: Eukaryota; Metazoa; Arthropoda; Malacostraca; Decapoda; Majidae.
CAAAAUAAAGCUAAACAAGUAAAGCAUUUCAUUUACGUUGAAAAGAGUUAUCGUGCAAAUCGGUUUAUUUUGA